AUACCUGCCAUGGCUUUUAUUUCUUUGCUUAGCGGUUUGGGUUUGUUUUGUUGGAAGCUUUCCCGUAUGGAGAGCCCCGCAUUGUGCUGACUAGGGAAGACAAGAGUGCUUACAAAAUAAAAAGGAUAUACUUUCGGAAAGAUAAUAGUGAGUGCCGUUAAUAAUCAUUAUAAUUUCCUCGGUUUGGUUUUGUACACUUUUUGUAACAAAAUAUACAUAACAUAAAAUUUACCAUUUUAAUCACUGUUUUUAAGUUUAUUUAUUUGAGAGAGACAGAGAGAGCACGAGUAGGGGAGGGGCAGAGAGAGAGGGAGAGAGCGAGAAUACCAUGCAGGCCCUAUCGUCCGCGUGCAGAGCCCAACGUGGGGGCUCGAACUCACAAAACCGGGAGAUCAUGAUCUAAACCGUGUUCCCCGCAAACACGGAUUCCCUGUUCCUGUGUCCUCCCUCAGCCCCUGGCAACCCUCAUUCUACUUUCUGUCGGUCGGAAUUUGACCCCUCUAGCUACCUCACAGAAGGGGAGCCAACCAAUAUGUGUCCCUUUGUGAUGGGCUUAUUUCACUUAGCGUAACAUCUUCAAGGCUCAGCCACGUUGCUGCUCUUGCAGAGUUUCACUCCUUUUCAAGGCUGAAUAAUACUCCAGCGUAUGUGUCUACCACAUGGCGUUCAUCCGUGUGUCCAUCAGGGGACAUCUGCUUGCUUUCGCUUUGGGCUACUGCAGGUUUUGUGCCAGUCGCACCGUCGCAAGCUCCACAGGUGCGUUCUGGUGUGUAACCUCACUACAAGCGAAUUUGGGAAUAUCGUUCCAUUUUUCAGGUGAGAAAGCAGGCUCUCUUCAAGACCCAUGACCUACAAAGUGGCAGGGAGGAAUGCGAGAGGGGCCUGGCUGACCUCGCUGAGCCGCCCUGCAUUUCCGGCAGCGGAGGCCUAUGGGAAGGCAGGGAGCAGUGCCCAUCUGGCCUUGGGAGGGCUGUGUGUCUCACACAUUCCCUGUGCUCCUCUGUCACACUCCCCCCUUCCUCUUACUUCCUUCCUUUCCCUGGUCUCUCCUUUCUGAUCCUGAGCCAUUAAAUGUCUCCUGCCUGCCAGCCAAGAUCUGAUAAAUUCUUAGCACUUCAGUGAGAACGGCUCCCUUCCCAGGAGGAUUUUCAUUGUCAAAGGCAUAAACUAGAGGAAAAGUGCCCAGAAAGACCCUUUGGAGAGUCGCCCCUGGAGAUACGACUGGGAAGGUGCAAUCUCACCUGGGUGAUAUGACCCAACCACUCCUUUGUUCUUAAUACAAUUCUACAAACUGAGCAUCUACUAUGUGCCAGGCACUGUUCCAAACAUCUUACACAGAUUCACUCACCUAAGCCUCCCAACCACCACUGGGCCCAUUGAGGCAUGGAGAAACUGAGCCUCUGAGAAGUCAGAUCACCAACUCAGACAGACUCCCACCACUGUGAAGUGGUCCAGACACGAUCCCGGCUCAUGGGCACUGGAUCCAAAGCCUGCACUUAGCUGCUGCCUCACACUGCCUACAGUAUUCUCCUACAGGAAUUUAGAGACAGAUAUACAUGCUAGAUACAUGCAUGGAUGGAUGGAUGGAUGGAUGGAUGGAUGGACGGACAGACAAAUAAAGAGUUGGGUGAAGGCAAAGGAGAGGCUUUUGCUCCAUCCCUGACUUUUACUUACUUGUCAAGUAGCUGACCAUCAACAUCAGCCUCCUCCAGCUCUCACCCACCCCUCCCCUGGAAAGGAAGUCUCGGUUGUCUGUUCCUUCGCACCUCUCACCACCACCAAUCCAUUGUGCGCUUUCUCUGGGAAAGAGCCCCGGUGGUGCUGCCCCCUGUGGCCUACACCACCAGGGCAGCCUUCACCUCUGGCUUUCAGAGGACACAGCCAAUGGAAGGACCAGCAAGGGCCAAAGGGUGCCCGAUUGCUGGCAGUUUCCACAUCCUCCUGUGGCCAUGCACCCUGCUCUGUAGCCCGCUUCAAGGCUACAGCCUCUCCAAGUGGAAUCCCUCUGCCUUCCUGGCAUCCUUAGGGCAUGCACGUCCUUCAGCCUUCGCUGGCCUCGAAGCGCCACACCACUGCGUAUUUGUUCCUUCACUCUACCCACACCUCUGUGAUGUUCCCUUCUCUUCAUUUAGAUCUUCCCUGCCAGCUCUGCAGACUCUCUUAAAACGUUCAGAGAACGGAUGGGGAAGAGGGCUGUGUCUGCUGGAUCCUAUAAACACAUGGACAAACACAUACAUAUACAGACACAUACACACACACGUAUGCACACACAGUGCACAUGCCCACGGACAUGUGCACAUGU
Herpailurus yagouaroundi (jaguarundi) is the source of this 2302-nucleotide long non-coding RNA. RefSeq lists it as uncharacterized. Lineage: Eukaryota; Metazoa; Chordata; Mammalia; Carnivora; Felidae. The transcript has 3 exons. The record is from RefSeq and is a predicted model, not a curated record.